GACGAACGCUGGCGGCGUGCUUAACACAUGCAAGUCGAACGGAAAGGCCUGCUUUCCCUUGUGGAUUGCGGGUACUCGAGUGGCGAACGGGUGGGUAACACGUGAGUGAUCUGCCCCCAACUUGGGUAUAAGCCUGGGAAACUGGGUCUAAUUCCCGAUAGGACUGCAGGGUGGUGCCUGUGGUGGAAAACGAUUUUCUAGUGGUUGGGGAUGGGCUCGCGGCCUAUCAGCUUGUUGGUGGGGUAAUGGCCUACCAAGGCGGCGACGGGUAGCCGGCCUGAGAGGGUGGACGGCCACAUUGGGACUGAGAUACGGCCCAGACUCCUACGGGAGGCAGCAGUGGGGAAUAUUGCACAAUGGGCGGAAGCCUGAUGCAGCGACGCCGCGUGGGGGAUGACGGCCUUCGGGUUGUAAACUCCUUUCGACCGCGAGGAAGCCACCUGGUUGGAAGGGUGGUGACGGUAGUGGUAGAAGAAGCACCGGCUAACUACGUG
This 494-nucleotide ribosomal RNA is filed under the name uncultured bacterium. Its description in RNAcentral is "partial 16S ribosomal RNA". It matches the Rfam family "Bacterial small subunit ribosomal RNA", at positions 28 to 507 of the family's 1533-position model. The record is from RNAcentral.